This 74-nucleotide transfer RNA is filed under the name Microvirga brassicacearum. Its description in RNAcentral is "Microvirga sp. CDVBN77 tRNA-Cys". It matches the Rfam family "tRNA". From Rfam's summary of the family: Transfer RNA (tRNA) molecules are approximately 80 nucleotides in length. Lineage: Bacteria; Pseudomonadati; Pseudomonadota; Alphaproteobacteria; Hyphomicrobiales; Methylobacteriaceae. The record is from RNAcentral.
GGCCUCGAGGCGGAAUGGCGACGCACAGGAUUGCAAAUCCUGCCCACUUGGUUCGAAUCCAGGCGAGGCCUCCA